UUGCUUUAAUACUCUUAAUUCUUUAUGUUUUUUGAGUAUGUAUUUGUUAAGCCUUAUAAGAGAAAAGUUUAUUAACUUAAGGAAUUAUAACAAAGAAGUAACACAUAAUAAAUUUCGAUUUAUUUAGUGUGUAUCAAUCGAGUUUCUGACCUAUCAGCUUUUGAUGUUAGGGUAUUGGCCUAACAUGGCUAUGACGGGUAAA
Molecule: ribosomal RNA, 202 nt
Filed under: Plasmodium malariae
Lineage: Eukaryota; Apicomplexa; Aconoidasida; Haemosporida; Plasmodiidae
Description: partial small subunit ribosomal RNA
Rfam family: Eukaryotic small subunit ribosomal RNA
Source: RNAcentral